Long non-coding RNA from Eriocheir sinensis (Chinese mitten crab), 571 nucleotides. RefSeq lists it as uncharacterized. The transcript has 3 exons. The record is from RefSeq and is a predicted model, not a curated record. Lineage: Eukaryota; Metazoa; Arthropoda; Malacostraca; Decapoda; Varunidae.
AGCAACUUGGAUGAUCGGCUCCCAGGCUGACGAGAGGGCCACGGAGGGCAGAAACCUGAAAAACUACGCGACGCCAUUCUGAACGAGGUGACGGUAGUUGAGUGCGUGAAAGGCUGUCGGGUGUUCAGGGCAAGACACUGCUGGGAAUCUUAGCAACCAUCAAGACUCACCACCCACAAGCACCAGCAUUAUCUCCAAUACCAAGAUACAUCCAUGUGUGAAAGGUUGUCAUCACAGGAGGAGGAAUCAUCAACAGAAGAGGUGCCGCCCACAGAACCCUGGAGGCGGAUCAACUGUGUCCCAUCUGUCCUUACUUCCUGCCCACGUCCGUCGAGGUCACCACACCUGUGGGCAUCCCGGCCAACCUCACCUGCGGCGUCAUGCAGCUCGGGGACAAGAAGGUGAGAGGGAGGAGAGGAAGGGAGGUCAGACUUAACCUCGUCCUUAAGGACUUGGGUGAGGAAGGAGAUGAGGAGGGAAAGAGGAGAUGAAUGUGAGAAGUGAGGAGAGAAAAGGAGGUCUGAGUUCACCUAUUCCUUUCUGUUCGUUGGUGAAAGAGAGGAAAAGGAGA